GGGCGCGCCCCUGCGCCGGCGUCGGUGCGCGCCCCUCCUCCGCCCUGCCGGGGCCGCGCCGCGCGCGCCGGCUCUGGGCGGGGCCCUGCAGUGGCAGCCGGCUGCUCCCCCCGCCGCUCCGCCUCCUCCUUCCCGGGUCCUCCCCGAUUUCCCCCUCGGGCGCUCUCGCGCUAACUCUGCUCUCCUGGGCCCCGUCCGCCCGCUCCCAGCCAUGGUGGCCUGGCGCUCAGCGUUCCUCAUCUGCCUCGCUUUCUCCUUGGCCACUCUGGUCCAGAGAGGCUCCGGGGACAAUGAUGAUUUCUAUCCAAGGGAAACGUCCUCAGCAAAGCGAGCCGUGUGAGUCAUAUGGCGUCUACGCUAAUAUUACAUAAGUGGCCGUUGCUUUUCUGAAAGUUGCUCAAAUCAUGGUUUCACUGAUAGAAUUUCUUUUUUCUGACUCUACGUGUCACCAUAAUAUAAGAUACGCGUAAAGAGCCUCACGUAGACAGAGUGACUCUUCGGAGGCCUCAAGGACCAAGACGGGGUGCUGUCCUCAUGCUGUGACUUCCCUGAGCCGUGCAGUGGCUCCUGUAUUUUGUUCCUAAAUGCGCUCCCCUUGCUGUCCCCCUCCCCUGUUUUAGAGAGAUGGGACCGCGUCACCACGACAACCAAGAGACCUGGAGUGACCAGGGCUCCAGCAAAGCCUGCAGGCAGUGAUUUUGACUUGGCUGAUGCCUUGGAUGGAAACGAUCAAGACGAUGGCCGCAGGAAACCGAGUCCAGGAGGAGGAGUGGAAGAGCUGGACUCUCACAUCUGCUUCUGGACUCCGUUGUGACAUGUUGUUAUGGUUGAUGCAUACGAAGGAAAUCCGGCCUCAUAUCGAUACGCAGUUGAGAAGAGGAAGACUAUUGUAAUAGCCUUUUCAUGUCAUUGAUUCGUGUAAUUUGCCUUUGGUUUUUCGGACAAGGAUCUUGAAGACAUCUUAGGGGGCGGCGAAUACAGACCUGACAAGGGUAAAGGUGAUGCCGGGUAUGGCAGCAACGGUGACUCGGAAUCCGGAAUGUCGGCAGAGACCGGCACCAUCGCCGGCGUGGCCAGCGCUCUGGCCAUGGCUCUCAUCGGCGCCGUGUCCAGCUACAUCUCCUACCAGCAGAAGAAGUUCUGCUUCAGCAUUCAGCGUAAGUGGCUCUGCCCCGCGGCCCCUUGCGGCUGUGCCCUCCCGUUCCUGUCCGUGACCCCCUGGGGACAGACGCAGGCCAGACGGAAGCGUGAACCAGCCCGGAAGGGAGGAUUGGGCUGGACUCAAUGACGUUGAUCUUCCGAGGGGUUCAGCUCCCGGAAGCCCAAGUGACCCCUGGGUUUCUCCCUGAAUUUCCCCGAGGCUCGGGGUCGCACCCCAGGGGCCGGGGGCCGUUGGAGGCAGAAGGCAGUGUCGCCGGGGUCUCAGAGCCCGCAGUGGCACCGUGGGGCAAGCCAGCGCCCACCAUCCCCUCCGGUCCCAGGAGGAUCAGGCAGCGUAUGGAGUCGAGAAUGGUUUUAAAGGAGCCGGGAUGUAGGGGGAAGACGCGCCUGUGGUCCCCACCUGUCCACAGCAGCUUGGUGACACAGGGCUGCUUCGGCUGUAGCUGCGGGGCUCUCUGUGGCGCAUAGACGGAAUAGUUACUUAUGUGGGAUGUCUCCCAGGAGCCUGUGUUGGGGGAGCCCGUGGGGGACCCUGUCGAGAGUGAACGAGACCACGCUCGGUGGCUUUAUAAGCACAGCGCAGAUGUGUCGCUGUUUGAUGAGCCUCGCUGAAGACGGGCGAUUGUUAGUUCAAGUGGGAGAAGUCGUCCCCUGUGAGCCCCCCCACCCCCGCCCCGGCCUUGCUCUGGGCCUGGAGUGGAGCUUCUCGGAAGACAGACUUGGGUCCCAGAAUGCUUUGCGUGUGUGUGUAGAGCUGGUUUUUUCAUCUGGCCUCAUGUUUGCUGCCUUGCUUCUUGUACCGUGUUCAUGACCGGGGCCGCCGCAGAGAGCGCCGCAGGCUCCAGAGACACCGUUCACAUCUCAGUGCACAGCCUGCACAUCUGCUCCAGUGGCCCUGCUGGGGGGUCCUGUCCCGCCCGCCACAGUGGAUCCAGAAGCUUGGCUUGUGGCGUCGGGUGAGAGGAGGAGUCCCAGGGAGCGCAGAGCUGGAGGCCGCGUUGGCCUUAGGCCUUUGCUCAAAAGCAAAGAAACUGAGUGGCUCAAAACCUAUUUAUUCUCUUCCAGUUGUGGAGGCCAGAAGUCCAAGGUCAGGGGGUCAGCGGGGCGGGUCCCCCUCUGGGGGAGGGUGCUUCCCUCUUCCUCCAGCUUGCUGCUGCCUCUGUCUGCAGGUGGCUUCUCCUCUGUCAUCUUCUGUCUCUUAAAAGGGCACUUGUCAUUGGAUGUCAGACCCACCCUAAAUCCAGGCUGAUCUUAUCUCAAGAUCCUUCAGUUCAUUAGCUCUGCAAAGACCGUUUUCCCAAAUAACGCCACGUCCACAGGUUCCAGGGACGAGAGCGUGGCCUUAUCCCUCAGGCGCCACCAUUCACCCCGGUUCAGCAUCAUAUCCCAGCAGUGAGAUGGGACUUUAGAAUGCACGUUGGGUACGAGAGACUAAAGGCUGGGCCUAAAGUUAGAGUAAGAAUGGCUUCCUGGGCACUGCACGCUGCCCCUGCCUGCCCUGGCCCGACAGGGCAGCUGCCACGGCGCCCUCCUUCAUGCCGCGGGGACGAGCCUGAGGGGGCUGUUGAAGGAACUCGCUCCAGAUGGGAAGCAAUGGAUCCGGGCUGGAAGGCAAAGCGGGGAACUAGGAGGGGCGGGAAGAAAGGUUAAUUUCCAGAGAUGCAAACUGUUGCCUUUGGAGUGGCUAAGCGCUGAGAGCCGGCCGUGUAGCACAGGGAACUCGAUCUAGUCGCUUAGGAUGGAGCAUGAUCAUGUGAGGAAAAAGAAUGCGUACGUGGAUGUGGGACUGGGUCAGCUGGCCGUACAGUCGAAAGCUGACAGAACACCGUAAACCAGCUCUGAUGGAAAAAAUAAUCAUCAUUAAAAAACAAAAAAAAAA
RNAcentral lists this long non-coding RNA (3040 nucleotides) under Sus scrofa (pig). RNAcentral's name for it is "lncRNA (ENSSSCG00065027415.1)". Lineage: Eukaryota; Metazoa; Chordata; Mammalia; Artiodactyla; Suidae. The record is from RNAcentral.